GAAGGAGAGGAGGAGGAGAUGAGACCAAGGAGAAGAGGUGAAGGAAGAGAGGAGGACACAGAAAAGAGAAGAAAGAGGAGAGGAGGAGACGGAGAAGAGGAGGAGGAGCAGCAAAGGAGGAAGAAGAGGAAGAGGAGUAGAAGAGCAAGUUCCAGUUCUCGGUGCGCCCCGUUCUGCAAGACACUCUCCUGUGGUCAGCCCUGGCCUGCAGAGGAUUCCCGCGCUGGAUCUCUGAGGGAUGCUGGCGCCCUCUCUGCAGCACAUUCCUGAUGCCCUUGCUGACACAUGUGUCCUCUGGGUCCUCUCCUGAAACCUGAUCCUCCGGGGUGUCUUCUGGCCUCACCUCUUCUGUCCAGUUCCAGCAAGCUCACUUUGCUUAGCCUUUGAAUCCCUUCCUUCACUGUCUGCCGUGACAAUUCGGGCCUUUCACCGUCACUCAGGCCUGGACCAUCACUGUUGCCCAUCCCAUGCCAUCAACGGGUUUGCCCCAUCCCUUCGGCUCCCUACCAGGGCAUUCAGUUGUGUUGAGCAGCAGAGUGUCUCCAAGUCCCCACUGGUUGAGCUGCAUCCGGGUCCCAUCCCACAGGGGCCCCCCCUGGCCGCUGCAGGUGCAUGCUGAUCCUGCAGCUCCUCAAGGGUGUCAUCGCUUUCCCCCUUCCCAGACCCAGCACACCCUGCCUGCAUGGCGCUGUGCUGCACCUUCACUCUGGUCACGGGUCUGGCAGUCGGCUCACCAAUUCCUCCCGCUUCCCUGGGACUCGCCGGCUUUUAGCACUGCAAUUCACUCAGCAAACUGGGACUGUUGGUCACCCUACCUGGCAGCCAGUGAUAAGGUGAGGGCCACUCCUGGGAGGGAGGACACCUGUGGGGAAAAUUCUUGUGUUAUUUAUUUCUCCUUCAGGAUAGGGUGCCUGCAGCGCUUCAUGGGAGGGGGUGG
RNAcentral lists this long non-coding RNA (937 nucleotides) under Pan troglodytes (chimpanzee). RNAcentral's name for it is "long non-coding RNA NONPTRT018551". The record is from RNAcentral. Lineage: Eukaryota; Metazoa; Chordata; Mammalia; Primates; Hominidae.